Long non-coding RNA from Chelonoidis abingdonii (Abingdon island giant tortoise), 2442 nucleotides. RefSeq lists it as uncharacterized. The record is from RefSeq and is a predicted model, not a curated record. Lineage: Eukaryota; Metazoa; Chordata; Testudines; Testudinidae.
CGCUUUGUGGGGAAGAGGGCAGUGGCUUGUCUUACUCUGUUCCAUGAAACAGGAAGAAAAUGCUCCAAAGGCUCCCAUGUUCCACUUCUGGGAUGACUCCAUUUCAGGGGCGAACAAAGUGAUUUCCAUAUCUAAAGCUUAUAAAGAAAUUUAGAAUGGCUGAAAAGGAAAUAAACUAUAUAAAGACUCCCAUCAGCAGAUAUUAGAGCAUAAAGAAGAACCCAGUACUUACUCCUUGGCUCUCUUGGUCCAUCCACUGUAACCUUUAUAGCUCUGUGUCUGGAAGACAAGUCUGGACCAAUUUCUCCAUCCUGCCUCUGGCAGCAGAAUGUGGCAUUUCAGAUCUUCCACCAAGUCCCGGCUGCUUCAAAGGAAAAUCCCUACUUUCUUCCGUUAAGAUCAUAAGAAAUAUAGGGGGAGGGGGUCAGCUCUGUUUGGACAUAAUUACACUUCAUCAAAAGAAGCUUUCUUCAUCUUCCAUGCGUGAAAAGUCUGCAAGCAAUUUUACCCAGAUUGAUCAGAGAAAACUUCUUAACCAAAGACUGAAGAACACAAAAGAUAAAUGAAACUACUUUGGCCAAAUUUGAAAAGUCAUUAAACCUGGCUACUUGGUUCUUCAUCACAGCAGAGGCAUUCCUCAGCUCUGCAGAAUAGUUUUCAUCAUUUCCAGCCAUGACGGUGACCACGGUCCCAUCAGCUUCUUGCAGGACAACAAAGAACAUACAAGUCUGGUGUAAUAACUCUGUCUUUACACGUCUCAGUAAGAUGCUCCUGAAAGAAUUGUCAACUGAGGGACAAAUCCUGUUAUCGCUACUCCACUGACUACUAUGAACUACUUGUGAAUAACGUGAACAUGAUUUGGCCCCCGUCCCAUUGUCCCACUUUCCUUUAUAUCUUAGCCACCUGAACGUUAUUAAGCAGCUACAAAGCUAUGUUAAUAAGCGCAUUGUUAACAUUCUUCACUAUAAAAAUAGUUUGCACUAACAUAGUCUUACUAUUCAGUAUAUUAAACAAGAACUCCCUUCACAGCUCAUGUAAAUAUUAAUACUCCAAUUCAAGUGUCCUACUAGCCAACAUGAUUUUAAAAAAUUAUAAUCAAAACUAUCACUGUUUAUAACAUACUUCCUUUCCUACAAUUGAUUUACAUCUGUUUUUUUUAAAUUAAAACUGUGGUAUGUCCAAAGCACUUUUUAACUAGAGAAUCCUAUAACAGAAUUAUGAUAUACUUAACACACCAUUCAAAAUAUUAUCAUCAGCAUAUUAUUUAUUGCCAAUAAAACUUCAGUUGUCAAUUUUUAAAAAGCAUGCUGUAUGUGAACUAGUUACGGUACACGCCAGAUCAGUAUUUUCUUUUUUUUUCCUUUUUUUAAAUUAAAGAUAACUGCUCCUGUGUUACAUUAUAGUGAUUUUUUUUGUUAUAUAUGCAUUUGGAUUAUUUCAGCUUGAAAUUGUGCAGAGUUACAUAUCAUUUCAAUUUAUACAGUGAAAAGAAAACUGAUAAAAUAUGUGUUUGAGAUCAUUGUUAAGUAAAUGUAAUUAGGAUUUACAGUACAGUUUUUCUGUAGUAAAUAAAGGUAAUACAUACAGAACAUCUACAUAAUGCAUGCACAUAUAUUCUCUGUGUAAAAAUACAGAUGUAUGUAAAUGUGCACAUGCUUUAUAGCUGAGUGGUGGUGUAAGUGGUGAAAGAACUGGCUCAUAGUCAAUUUAAUAUUCCUGACACCUCAAUAAACUGGAUAAAUCUAUGCGGGUCUGUCAAUAGGGACCUGUAUGGCCUUUAUUACUGUAGUAUUUGAAUAUUGCAAAUACUGAAUACUUCAUCCAAUUUAGCUAGCGUGUGCAUAAAUAUAUAUAGACGGGAAAUGGGAAAUGCUCUGAAGACAUCUGUCCUUUUAUCAGGUUUAAAUGUGCUUUUUUGUAACCAUAUCUUGUGUCAUAUUAGGUUCAUAUUUUUCUCCUAAACUUUUUCAUCCAGCAGAUGUAAUAGUAUCCUUUAAAGAUAAGUAAAUAAGAAAAAGUAGAAGAUGAUGCCUGACAUUUCAAAAGAAGCCAGAGACAGAUAUAACUGCAAUGUGCAAUAUUUACUUCUGUGAACUAUAACUUUAAAACUAAUCUAAUCUAAAAAUGAUCAAAAUUACAAUCAAAGUUACCUGAAAUCUCCUCCUUCUUCCCCCCAACCAUCAGUGCCCUCUGAACAAGACUUGCUCAGGAGAAGUGAUCUACACCUGAUAUUUGUCAUGGCCCUUUAAUGCUUGGCAAAGUUACAGAAAUAGAAGAUUUUUAAUGGCUCUGUUUAGCCUGUUCUCUGCUAUCUCUAACAAGUGAGGACCACAAAGACUACUAAUCAUCUAACUCUAAGGUAGAGGGGGUUCUUCCAGGACCUUUCCCUGUCAUAUAUGUGAGCUUCAGACAAAUGAAGUCUGUUUCUCUGUCUGAUACUAA